This 497-nucleotide ribosomal RNA is filed under the name uncultured bacterium. RNAcentral's name for it is "partial 16S ribosomal RNA". It matches the Rfam family "Bacterial small subunit ribosomal RNA", at positions 28 to 507 of the family's 1533-position model. The record is from RNAcentral.
GAUGAACGCUGGCGGCGUGCCUAAUACAUGCAAGUCGAGCGAACAGAUAAGGAGCUUGCUCCUUUGACGUUAGCGGCGGACGGGUGAGUAACACGUGGAUAACCUACCUGUAAGACUGGGAUAACUUCGGGAAACCGGAGCUAAUACCGGAUAACAUAUUGAACCGCAUGGUUCAAUAGUGAAAGGCGGCUUUGCUGUCACUUAUAGAUGGAUCCGCGCCGUAUUAGCUAGUUGGUAAGGUAACGGCUUACCAAGGCAACGAUACGUAGCCGACCUGAGAGGGUGAUCGGCCACACGGGAACUGAGACACGGUCCAGACUCCUACGGGAGGCAGCAGUAGGGAAUCUUCCGCAAUGGGCGAAAGCCUGACGGAGCAACGCCGCGUGAGUGAUGAAGGUCUUCGGAUCGUAAAACUCUGUUAUCAGGGAAGAACAAAUGUGUAAGUAACUGUGCACAUCUUGACGGUACCUGAUCAGAAAGCCACGGCUAACUACGUG